AAAGAUUACAUCAAGAGCAGCCAAACACCUGCAGCAGAAGAACUUCAAUUACAACUUCCCUAACGAAUCCAAAAACUCUAAAUACUGAUCCACGCUCUCAACUAAACGUCAUUUACACCAAAAAAUAAUUUUUUUCAUACAAUUAUUUUUAAUUCUAGAGAUGUGAAUUCUCCUAUUUCUCAAGGCAAGCAUUGUUCCUUUCUUCCCAAAUGGUCCAGAAGAUGCAUAAAGAAAUGGUCCUCCAAAGCUGCUUCUUACUUCUUAUUAUCUUCUGUCCUUGCCAGCUAAACAGUAAUGACUUUAUGUCUGAAGGCAUAGUCCAAGAAGCACCACUCAAAUUCAAGAAAAGCUCCCAGCACUGUAGCAAUUUUACAGUAGAUAAACAGAUGGUUAACAGUUUCCAACUCUUCUUCACAUAAAAUAACAUCUGUUACUUGGACUAAAUCCUCUCUUUUGUAGAUUAUCUUGCGGAAGACAAGCUUCUCUGAUGACAAUCCACCCAAUACAAGCCACUUUAGCAGGCACUCUGGUUCUCCAUAACAUUUUCCAAGGCAAAUUAGAGUCAUAAGAAUCAGAUUGUUUUGGGAGAAAGUUAUUUAACAGCUUUUAACAGAGUAUUGCAUAUCACUACUUGCUCCAUACCAAUCGAUCCUCCUUGUUUUGCUCUAUCACUGUUGUGCUCAACAAUUGGAGUAUCUGUGCCACUUCUUCAUCUCCCAAUCAUUAAAACCUCGUCUGGAGUUUAAUUGCCAGCCAUUUGUGGAGUAAAACUCGGCAACAUGUCCAUCUUUGAUAGUAGAGCAAUUAUAUAGGCUCGGAAAUUUGGUACUUAACCUCACAUUCCCACCCAUACUUCAGUCCAGAAUCUGAUUUUACUUCCAUUUCCCAGCUUCAGUCUAGUGUGUUGUUCAAAUUCAUUGCACAGCUUACUGAUAUUGCUCCAGAUAUUGCCUUUUGUUGAACUGUGAACAGUUGCAGGCCCCCAUGUAUACUUCUUUCCAAGUGCUUUCCUUUCCAUCAUUGUAUCUUUUUUUUUUAUUUGUACCAGGUAUCCAAGUCUCUAAGAGCCCCGACUAAUCCCGGGGUACACAGGUCCUUUCCAUCAUUGUAUCUCCACAACCAUUUAUAUAGUAAACUCUUAUUGUGCAUUCUCAAGUUUCUAACCCACAUACCUCCUCCCUUUUUAACAGUUAUUACCUUUUACCAUUUUUACCAAAUGUAACUUCUUUCUAUCUGCAUUUCCUUCCUAUAAGAAGUUACUCCUCAUAGUCUUUAACUAGAACCUUUUUAUUUGCUAAUAUGGAUGAUGGUUCCAAUAAUGAUCCACCGUAAGUUUCUUUCUUCAUUUUUUCUAACUAUA
This 1360-nucleotide long non-coding RNA is filed under the name Nicotiana benthamiana. RNAcentral describes it as "long non-coding RNA (NBEN_LNC022058)". Lineage: Eukaryota; Viridiplantae; Streptophyta; Magnoliopsida; Solanales; Solanaceae. The record is from RNAcentral.